GUGUUCGCUUUCUCAGCACACAUACUAAAAUUGGAAGGAUACAGAGAAGAUUAGCAUGGCCCCUUCACAAGGAUGACAUGAAAAUUCAUGAAGCAUUCCAUAUUUUU
Small nuclear RNA from Cervus hanglu yarkandensis (Yarkand deer), 107 nucleotides. Lineage: Eukaryota; Metazoa; Chordata; Mammalia; Artiodactyla; Cervidae. The record is from Ensembl.